GACGAACGCUGGCGGCGUGCUUAACACAUGCAAGUCGAACGGAAAGGCCCUUCGGGGUACUCGAGUGGCGAACGGGUGAGUAACACGUGGGUGAUCUGCCCUGCACUUUGGGAUAAGCCUGGGAAACUGGGUCUAAUACCGAAUAGGACCACGCGCUUCAUGGUGUGUGGUGGAAAGCUUUUGCGGUGUGGGAUGGGCCCGCGGCCUAUCAGCUUGUUGGUGGGGUAAUGGCCUACCAAGGCGACGACGGGUAGCCGGCCUGAGAGGGUGACCGGCCACACUGGGACUGAGAUACGGCCCAGACUCCUACGGGAGGCAGCAGUGGGGAAUAUUGCACAAUGGGCGCAAGCCUGAUGCAGCGACGCCGCGUGAGGGAUGACGGCCUUCGGGUUGUAAACCUCUUUUAAUAGGGACGAAGCGCUAGUGACGGUACCUAUAGAAGAAGCACCGGCCAACUACGUG
RNAcentral lists this ribosomal RNA (462 nucleotides) under uncultured bacterium. RNAcentral's name for it is "partial 16S ribosomal RNA". It matches the Rfam family "Bacterial small subunit ribosomal RNA", at positions 28 to 507 of the family's 1533-position model. The record is from RNAcentral.